CCAGUCAGAGUACAAGCUUCCGGUUUGCUUCUCAACAUUGUCGAUGAGAAUGCUGUAAGUAGCAUCUGGACGGAGGAUGAAUGUGUACACAUGGGUGAGCUGGUCAGUUUCACAUGGAACAUCCUUCUUGAUCAGAUGGUUGGCUUCAUUGUAGGUGAGGAUGGCAUGAACUUUUUUGGUGCUGUAGCCACAGAUAUCCGGACCAAACAUGAUACUGCAGGUAAAAGCAGGUAGGUGUUAUUUUGAUAAAUUGAUAUCAGUAGAAAAGGUUGAGAUGAUUAGAGUGAGAAAAGACAGGAUAUAUACCUGUAUGGGGUGUCUCCACCAAAUUUCUUCUGGUCAACAUCACCACUGAGCAGCUUCAUGUAGCCACCACCACAGUCAAGCUUUUGCUCGUGCUUGACUGAGAAUUGGAAGACUAAGGUUUUGUCCUUGUUACUGAAUUCAGGGAACUCAGCUGAAAUGGCGUAGAAUCUGUAGUCCUCACUGGUCUGGAUACCUGCAUGGCAAUGGUAAUUACAAACAAAGCAUUAACAAAACUGGGAAUAUGUCAGGAAACAAUUUUCCAUGAGUCUCUGACUAGCUCUGAAGGAUGAAUCAUACCUUUAUCGUUACUGUCACCAGACCAGUUUCCUGCAGUGUGUUUCCACUCCCCAGCAGUGUUAUCAUCCUUCUUCCACUCAGAUUUGACCCAUCUGCUCUCCCAUCCAUCUUCAGAAAUGGAAAGAACAAAGGUAACAAAGUAAGACAGGCAUCAGAAUAGAAGAAUGACAAGAUUAUAAUACGAACAACAAGACAUUUCCAACACAAGAUACACGAACUGUUCAACCCAGAUAUUGGUUAGAAAAUUGGACCAAACUUCAAAUAAGAAAAAGUGUACUAAACAAGCUCAUGAGCAUGCCUCGUUAAACAAAUCUCCCAUUUAAGACUGCAAAUGAUACUAGCAUUUCCCUGAUGAUAAAAUACUGUUAAGUCUAAGCAGAAAACUAGCAAUGAUUGUACCGAUGACUUAGAUUGAAACUAGCAUCCUAGUGUCGAACUAUCAUCUCAGAGCUUAUCAUGAUCUCCGAAACAUCUCGACGAAAAGUAUAAAUCAACAAUAGUUAGCGGCCAUUUCCUAGAUCUCCAAUUAGAUUUCCGAAUUCACAAACCCCAGACAAACCAAAAUCAACAAAUCCAUAGAUCCAUAAGAAUCAUGAUCCAACAUUUGAAAAGUGAUCUACUUAUAGAGAGAGUGAUGUAGAAAGUAGAUACCAUCAAAGCGUUCCUCGAAGAUAACUGUUGCGGAGGCGAUCGCGAUGAGACCGAGAAGAAUCAAAGAGACGAGGCUAGGGAUUAAUUUCGCCAUUGCUAAAAACUCAGAUCGGAGAUUCCCCGAGAUCAGAUGAUGAUGUACAAGAAGAUCCGGAGUUUUAUAUAUACCGCGAGGAGCUCGUCAGUGAACUCAGCUCUCAUGGAUAUUUAGCCUUUUGCUACGUCGUUUUAAUCUGCAGCCACAUAUACCAAUCAGUGACAUGCACGUCAUUUACAUUUGUCAUUAGGAAUGACAUGGCACUGCGAUAUUGGAUGAAACGGGAGAAAGUUUAACACGUGUUAAAUCUAUUAUUUAAGUGUGCUUCAAGUGGAUAAAUAGAAUGAAUGAUUAACAAAGUUUAUGUCAUCUUUGCAUGUAGUUUGCCCAAAAAAAAAGAAUGCUGCAUGUUCUUGCUAUUCGUUAAUCCAUUUAGGGAUUCUUGUUCUCUAAGUAUAUGAUUUAAGCUCUCCAUUGAAUGAAUACACAUUUUUGUCAUUGUCAUGUCGAUGAACGAGUCAGCUAAAAUGAAAAAGAAAUUAGCACUCAGAUGAAAGGUCAAUGAAGAUUGAGGUCCUGAUUACGACGUUACUUAUGUUAAUUGAGAAUCUCAGCGAUUAUAUGAACUUAGUUGACUGUAUUGCUUGAUCGACAAUGGAGAUGCAAUGGAAUUUUAAAAGGGUCGAGCAGUUCAAGUUCACCACAAUCUGAUUUUUUAGCGGAUUUUGGCUUAACAGAGAAACAAGAGUGGAGAGAUGCAACAGCAAAACUUCUUCAUGGGUUUUUUUCAGUCUAAAAGGAGCAUCUGACAGUCAUUGUAUUCUGCUUUAAAUUUUGCUAAAAAACUUGUUUCUAUCUCCGACAAACUAGAUACUAAAAUACUUCAAAAGAAAGGAUAAAACAAUAAAGACUAGAAAACUUUGGUCUUUAGAUCUUCAACAUCCUUCGCUUACAGCUCAUCCUGCAAAACCAAAUCAUCCAACGUAGCCAACUCAAUUAAAACAACAUAAUUAUAGAGUGAGUGGAAAUUUUAGCGUGACAUUGUGGAAAGCUUACAUGAGCGGCGGCGUCUUUCUCAGCUGUUUCAUCACUAUCUUCUGAUUUGCUCUCCUCUGCCUUAGAUUCAGAAUCGGAAUCAUCUCCUUCAUCAUCCUCUGGUUCUUCGUCAGCCUGGAAUAUAAAUCACAAAUAUAGUAUCAGAACCUUGACAGAAGCAGAGAAGACUAUCAAUCUUUGAUCAAUCACAAGUGCUUACAUCAGAUUCCGCAGGUGCGUCCUUGGAUUCCUGUAUCAGCACAGAACAAACAAACCAAAAAAAUUAUGGAGUCUCAGAUCAACAAGGCCUUUUUGUUCUAGAGAAUAUUAUGAAUUGUGAUAACUAAUUAGGAGAGAUAUUUGGUUGAGAAAGUGGUACCUCUUCCUCUUUCUUCUUCUCUGCCUCAUCGAAAGCUGCUUUCUCCGCCUGCAAUGUGAUAUAAGAUCGAUGUUUAGAUCAGUAACCACAAUCCAAGAGUUGUAUUGAUGGAAAUGUGUAUUCUAAAGACGUACAUCCUUGAGCUUUCCCCAGGUUUCAUCUGCCAACUUCUUCGCGUAGUCUGGGUCAUCGCAGAUCAAGACAUUGUCGAACAAUGAUCCUGAUUUCACCUGAAUGAGUGAUAGAUAUUUAGAUGCAAGUCAUGGGACCAGAGCAGAACUUGGAAGAUAAAAGGUCAUUCACAGUGACAAGAUUUAUUUACCUGCCACAAUUCGAGUCCAACGUACUUCAGCUUGGGGAAGACAUAAAGCUCUGGGUCAUCCUUGAAGUCUGUGUGAAAAGUCAGUUUAAAUUAGGCACGGUAAUUGUUGGAUAUUAUGAAUCGGAGAGAUAGAUUUUCAUGCAAAUUUAUGCAAGCAAACAAAAUCAGAUGUUUAGUACUACAGUCAAAUCCAUACAAACAUGUUACUGAAUGUGUCCAAUUGGUGUGACCCUGGGUUUAAUAAUAGAGAAGACUAAAAAAAUGGGUUACAUACAUGUUUCUAUUUUAAUUGGUUAGACAACCAAACACAGAAACACCUUUCAACCAUAUUGAAGUAAGGAAUUACUUCAGCAUUUGAGUUUAUAGGAACCCUUAGAUAGCCAUCAACUUAGUAAAAAAAACAAUCUAAAUUGUAAGAGAUUUCUAGGCAUACCAAAGGCCAUCAAACUACAAUUAACAGAAGUAGAACAACAAAUUACAUGUAUAAUAUGCAACAUGAAAAAUAUGGCCACGGAGAGUAGUAAUUUACCAGGGUUAUCGAUCAAUGGAGCCUUCCACUUGCCCUUGUAGUUGGGGUUCUUGAUUUGCUACAGAAAUAUAUGAUAAACCUUGAGAUGAAGAAAAACGUUGACGAGGAUUUAGAUAUUUUCUGAGAGCAAGAUUGACAAACCUUAGGCUUCCAUUCACCCAUGUACUCAGGGUUGGGGAUGGUUGGGGCAGUCCACUCACCAUCUUCUUCAUCAUCCCAGUCCUCAGGCUAGGAGAAAGGAGUUAAAGAAAAGACAGUAAACACAGCAAGAUAUUUUUGAUUUUGAAUCAGUUCAUCAGUUAUGGUCAACGUAGGUACCUUCUUCGAGUCUGUGUCUGGGAUCUCCUUUGGGAUAUCAUCGUAUCCAUCAGGUUUCUUGUCUUCAGGGUCAGGAAUAUAUUCUUGCUCGUCCCAGUCCUCAGGCUGUAAAAAAAUAGAACCAAUUGGUAUGAUUGAUAGUAUGUAUAAUCAACCGAAUUGAUCAGAGACUCAGAUUGCAUGAACUUUGAUGAUGUUGGUUCGAGUUUGCUCCAUAAUUAAUGUAUAACUAGAUGGCUCUCAAUUUAGUCCGGUUGUUCAUAAGUAAAUAAUACCUUCUUGGCGCUGGGGUCCUUGAUUUUCUUGGGUGGGAGAAGAUCCCAGUCAGAGUACAAGCUUCCAGUUUGCUUCUCAACAUUGUCGAUGAGAAUGCUGUAAGUAGCAUCUGGACGGAGGAUAAAUGUGUACACAUGGGUGAGCUGGUCAGUUUCACAUGGAACAUCCUUCUUGAUCAGAUGGUUGGCUUCAUUGUAGGUAAGGAUAGCAUGAACUUUCUUUGUGCUGUAGCCACAGAUAUCGGGACCAAACAUGAUACU
RNAcentral lists this long non-coding RNA (4410 nucleotides) under Capsella rubella. Its description in RNAcentral is "long non-coding RNA (CRUB_LNC004600)". Lineage: Eukaryota; Viridiplantae; Streptophyta; Magnoliopsida; Brassicales; Brassicaceae. The record is from RNAcentral.